Molecule: long non-coding RNA, 548 nt
Organism: Hemicordylus capensis (graceful crag lizard)
Lineage: Eukaryota; Metazoa; Chordata; Lepidosauria; Squamata; Cordylidae
Exons: 4
Source: RefSeq, a predicted model, not a curated record
UUCUGUGCCAUGGAGACCCUCUGAAAUAAACAGAGAAAAAGAAAGAAAGAAGUCAAAGGAAAAAUAAAGAGGGGAAGAGAGAAGGAGAAUUAAGAAGGGAGGAGAAAAAAGAAUAUUGGCAAAGAGGAAACUGACAACAGUAACUAAAGUGAGGAUCAAGACAACUCAGAAAGAAUCAAAUGACACAGGACUAAAUUCCUUAAGGAACUAUUUUUUGCCCAACAUACAUUUGAUGAAAAUGUUUCCCUGUAGAUGGUGCUCACAACCAGUAUCUGAGCUAUGCAGUAUUGAUUAAUUACACAGUUCCCCAAGAAGAACAUUUGCUGCUGAUCACCAAGGAUAGGAUGAAAGCUGUGCCAUAUCCAAACAAAAGCAUGUAUCCAAUUACUGAACUGAUGACAUACCGUGCCGAAAUCCAUAUUUAAGAAAAAUCUAUCCAACAAAGCACUGCAGCCCUGAACAGCUGAAGAGUACCGGUGGUUGGCUACACACUGCUUGACUAUAAUGUGUACUUUCAUAGUGGCAUAGCACAUCACUUUGUCUCACCA